This 376-nucleotide ribosomal RNA is filed under the name uncultured organism. Its description in RNAcentral is "partial 16S ribosomal RNA". It matches the Rfam family "Bacterial small subunit ribosomal RNA", at positions 527 to 896 of the family's 1533-position model. The record is from RNAcentral.
GUAGGGGGCGAGCGUUUGUCCGGAUUUAUUGGGCGUAAAGAGCUCGUAGGCGGCUCAGCAAGUCGGCCGUGAAAGCCUGAGGCUCAACCUCAGGACGCCGGUCGAAACUGCUGUGGCUAGGGUUCGGUAGAGGAGAGUGGAAUUCCCGGUGUAGCGGUGAAAUGCGCAGAUAUCGGGAGGAACACCAGUAGCGAAGGCGGCUCUCUGGGCCGAUACCGACGCUGAGGAGCGAAAGCUAGGGGAGCGAACAGGGAUUAGAUACCCUGGUAGUCCUAGCUGUAAACGUUGGGCACUAGGUGUGGCGGACUCAUUGACGUCUGCCGUGCCGAAGCUAACGCAUUAAGUGCCCCCGCCUGGGAGUACGGUCGCAAGGCUA